This 181-nucleotide unclassified non-coding RNA is filed under the name soil metagenome. Its description in RNAcentral is "partial internal transcribed spacer 1". The record is from RNAcentral.
UCGAGUUUACAGCUCUCCAAACCCCUUGUGAACAUACCUAAUAUGUUGCCUCGGCGGGCAGGGGUCCCCCGGGACGCCCUCCGGCCCCGCCCCCGUAACAGGGACGUGGCGCCCGCCGGCAGGAUCCACAACUCUAUUUUUAAUUGUAACGUUCUUCUGAGUAGGCACAAGCAAAUAAUCA